Long non-coding RNA from Cyprinus carpio carpio, 557 nucleotides. The record is from Ensembl. NCBI's taxonomy places the organism in Eukaryota, Metazoa, Chordata, Actinopteri, Cypriniformes, Cyprinidae.
GCUUCAGUUCAGGAGAAAAAAUUAGUUUUUCCCAUAGUGUCUUUAAGCAGACGCAGUACUUGUUCCCGUAUAUCAGGGAACUGAGGUUAUGUUAGUUACCGAGUACGUUUCCAAUGCUGGCCAGAUGCAGACAUGAGUACAGGUUAGUAAUUAAAUGUAUUAACUUUAACCAGCACCUUUUAAUAGCUGGAGUGGAUGUUGACUUGAUCCCGGAUCAAUGGACUCUACAUAAGUCAUGACUGUACCAGCAAAUGGAGCUCUUAGAGAAGAUAACCUGGCCUGCUGUGAAGAGGAUGCUGGGCCAUGAAUGUCCUGAUGAGAGUCCGAGCUGAAUAACAGCACUUCCUUAGUGACACACAGGACUCUGAAGAUGAGCCCUUUGAGGACAUCUGUGCAUUUGGUUAACCCUAAAAGAUAGUGUUAUUUUGCAACAUCUACCAAUUUUAGCAGACUCUGUUGUAAUUCUAUCAGGCCACAAGUUUGUUCUGAUGCUUUGUUUGAUGUUCAUUGUACAGUGCUGAUUUGCUUACCUAAAAGACAUUUUUGGUUAAAAGGAC